Molecule: long non-coding RNA, 222 nt
Filed under: Brassica napus (rape)
Lineage: Eukaryota; Viridiplantae; Streptophyta; Magnoliopsida; Brassicales; Brassicaceae
Description: long non-coding RNA (BNAP_LNC022992)
Source: RNAcentral
CAUAUUAUCGAAGUAGUCGGUGGCGGUGCUCGGUUGAGAACGGUCUGGAUCGGCAUCUUCGGGAUUUCGUAUUGGUAUCCCGAGAGCUGCUCGUCUCUCAUUUAGUGCUCGCUGCAUAGUCGGGUUUCCCACUGUCAUCACGUCCAACAUAUCCUCAAGAGAGUCUAAACAAUCCUGCUGGCUAUCCUUUCGAGCUCUCAUCUGAGAGUUCUCUUCAUCCCG